CAGUCGCCACGGUAAUACGUAGGGUGCGAGCGUUAAUCGGAAUUACUGGGCGUAAAGCGUACGCAGGCGGUCGUGCAAGCCCGGCGUGAAAGGUGGGGGCUCAACUCCCAAACUGCGCUGGGAACUGCAAGGCUUGAGUUUCUGAAGGGCAGCCGGAAUUCCACGUGUAGGGGUGAAAUCUGUAGAUAUGUGGAAGAACACCAAUGGCGAAGGCAGGCUACCGGCAGAAGACUGACGCUGAGGUGCGAAGGUGCGGGGAGCAAACAGGAUUAGAUACCCCUGUAGUCCCUGUCUCUUAUAC
This 301-nucleotide ribosomal RNA is filed under the name uncultured bacterium. RNAcentral describes it as "partial 16S ribosomal RNA". It matches the Rfam family "Bacterial small subunit ribosomal RNA", at positions 509 to 807 of the family's 1533-position model. The record is from RNAcentral.